Molecule: long non-coding RNA, 705 nt
Organism: Hemicordylus capensis (graceful crag lizard)
Lineage: Eukaryota; Metazoa; Chordata; Lepidosauria; Squamata; Cordylidae
Exons: 3
Source: RefSeq, a predicted model, not a curated record
GCGGACAGGGAUAGCAAACAAGACGUAGGAGUUUUGCAGGAGUUUAGCAGGAAGUGUGAGGGGGAGCCUGGAACAAGCCCCUGCGAUCACAAGGAGCACAAGGAGCCGGGUGGAGAAGAGAACGUGUACCCAUUGCUAAUGCCAUGAGUGGCAGCUCUUGCAAGAGUUCGUAAGCAAGAUGCCAGUAGGGGAAGAGGAAAGCGGCAGCACCGGAGCUGGCCUGGAAGGGGGCAGAGCAAUGCAGCAGCAGUGCAUGCUCAUUGGCCACUGCCACCAGACAGGAAAGGAGGAGGAAGAGGAAGAACUUGCCUUUCUGCUGGCUGGCUAGAGAAAUGGCUGACCUACAGGCCUGCACUUGUGCCACACCAGUGGACAGUCGUUGUCAUUACCAGAAGACAGUAGCUGCUAACAGGAAACUGCUAAGCAAAAUAAAGGAGAAGAAGGUCAGAAAGCAGGGUAUAAGUGAGAGUGAAAGAGAGAAGGUGGGUGCAAGUUGAAAGUUGAGAAAGGGCUGAAUGCACUGGGCUGCAGACAUCUCUUAUGUUGAACUCUGAAUCUUUACCUUUGGGCACCAUAAUAUCAUUUGUAAUGAAAGAAUGUAAUCUUACUACUUUGUGAACCUUAAGUUGAAUAUGCAACUUUUGUGCAUGUUGACUGAACCUCUGUAUCCUUCUAAAGUCAAUGGCAUUUUCCUUUAGCAGUCUA